CCUACGGGCGGCAGCAGUGGGGAAUAUUGGACAAUGAGGGGAACCCUGAUCCAGCCAUGCCGCGUGUGUGAAGAAGGCCCUCGGGUUGUAAAGCACUUUCAGUGAGGAAGAACGCCUGGUGGUUAAUACCCAUCAGGAAAGACAUCACUCACAGAAGAAGCACCGGCUAACUCCGUGCCAGCAGCCGCGGUAAUACGGAGGGUGCGAGCGUUAAUCGGAAUUACUGGGCGUAAAGCGCGCGUAGGUGGCUUGAUAAGCCGGUUGUGAAAGCCCCGGGCUCAACCUGGGAACGGCAUCCGGAACUGUCAAGCUAGAGUGCAGGAGAGGAAGGUAGAAUUCCCGGUGUAGCGGUGAAAUGCGUAGAGAUCGGGAGGAAUACCAGUGGCGAAGGCGGCCUUCUGGACUGACACUGACACUGAGGUGCGAAAGCGUGGGUAGCAAACAGGAUUAGAUACCCUGGUAGUC
This 465-nucleotide ribosomal RNA is filed under the name Vreelandella stevensii. RNAcentral describes it as "partial 16S ribosomal RNA". It matches the Rfam family "Bacterial small subunit ribosomal RNA", at positions 338 to 795 of the family's 1533-position model. The record is from RNAcentral. Lineage: Bacteria; Pseudomonadati; Pseudomonadota; Gammaproteobacteria; Oceanospirillales; Halomonadaceae.